GCGGAUUCUCACCUCACAGACAACAAAGUGCAGAUGUGCGUAUGAUGCAAAGCCACUAGACACUGACGCCCUGCAGAGGUGAACGUUGUGACAACAUGUGAAUCUAUAUGAAGUCAUCUCACCUUUGGAGGUCUCCAUUGACUCGAUUACACCACGUGACCGCUUGGAGGCGCUAUUGAGACACUUGCUGCUUUGGCAUCAUAUGAAGCAGCUCAAUGUCAUUCAGUCUCAGGUCAAAGUUGAGCACACACCCACCGCCUUUACUCUACAUUAAACACCACAAUUUCCAUUUCACGACUCAUUUACAACCAAAUGCAUUCUAAACGACCCUCAUAUCAUUCAGCAAAAACGCGUAUAUCAUCCACAGCUUAUAUCUGCUCGAGGUAGAACCUAAAAUAAUGAGAUCUAUAACAUAUAUUUCAUACUUUCGGUUCACUGACAGACGGGACAAAUCAUCUCUACUCUCCCACUCGCAAUCAGAGGAUGCUGUUAAAUGAUCCAGCAGAUGUAUAUAUAUAUAUAUAUAUAUAUCAAUGCAAAAUUAAUUAUCUCACUUGCACAUCCAAAAUUCGGUGCUAUUGGGUUGUGGUUUCUUUCACAUGGAUGCAUGUGCAAUUUAAAUCAAUAUAUUUCUUUCAUAAAAAUACUGUAUGCAUGUAUGAAAUGACAUUUUGAUCCAAAUACUUACUAAGAAUACAAUGGUGUUAAUGUGCUUUACCAUGCAUGGCUAUGUUUGUUCUGGUAAUACCACGGUUAAAUAAUUGAUCUGCAUUAUGCUGUUCAACAGCGUGAAAGAGCAAACCAUCAGUACGGUCAGAUGCAAACGCAGCCUGAUCAGAUGCAUCAUUAUUUUCUGAUGGUUACGCACUGGUUUGUGAUAUUGACAGUGUUUCAGAUGUUCAGUGAUGGUGAAAGCACAGAUUUGUGGAGAGGUGGCGCUCGUCGAGAUAAUCAGACUUGCACGCUUGCUGAUUUUCAGACAAAUUAAAUGUCAGGGGAAACGCAGCUCGCUCGAGUACUUUGAAAAGCUCCGACUAUCAUAAAUUAUUAAGGCCUCCUUUACUUUUCCCAAGCCUCUGAGAUCCGUCAUAGCGAAGCUGAAGUCUCCAAACUUUGUUCUGAAGUGAGGAAUUAACAGACUUCGGUGUCUGAUGGGAAUUCAGACACGCCGCACAAUCCAAACCUCAGCAAUCUGGGCACGUAGUUUAUAGGUGACAUGUUUUUCCUUUCUUUGAAUGAUAUCUAAUACCUUACUAUAGGGGAAAAUUGCAUAUUUCACAGUGCGAUAGGAAUGAAAAGUGAGAAACGGGUCCAGAGGAGAGGAAAAUAAAAUAGCAAAUAAAACAAAAUUAAAAUGAACUAAAAUAAAAUAGCACAAAAAAAUAAAUAACAAAAAGUACAACAUGAAACAAUAAUAAUAAUAAUAA
Molecule: long non-coding RNA, 1427 nt
Organism: Onychostoma macrolepis
Lineage: Eukaryota; Metazoa; Chordata; Actinopteri; Cypriniformes; Cyprinidae
Exons: 3
Source: RefSeq, a predicted model, not a curated record